CGUCCAUACUCUAACCGGUUGCUUUAUUAACUUUACACUACUGUCGGAAGGCACCCACACACAGCCUUCCUUCGCUUUCUCCCAGGCCUGAUGCUUUCACGUGUCUUCUCACAUCGUUUUUGUCAUUAAUGUCUUCCAACAAGGCCUGAUUUACAAGUGUAGAGCCACAAUUUCGCUGACCCAUCUUAGAAGGAAGUACAAUUCCAGAUACUCCUCCUUUGCUUCCGCUAUCUAUAAAGUCUGAAUCUUAAGUGAUACAAGCACAAGUGACAGGCAUGAUGAGCAUAAGCUAGAACGUACUCCCUCACGCAGUCUCCAUCCAUCCAAGCUAUAUGGAGCAUUUCCUUUCACCAUCCUUGUUACUCGAGAACCUUGCUCGACGAUGAAUCCGUGAUCGGAAAGAGAUUGCAACAGAAGAGAUUACUCGUGAGUGGACCGAAGUAUGGGAUUUGACGGAUGCCUUGCUGUCGCCAGCAGUAGUAGCUGCCGAUUCUGAGCGCAUGGUACUCUUUACUGUGGAGGAUGCAGUGCAUUUACAAACACCAUUACCCCCCUAUCAUUCGCCUUCCUCGAGUGAGAAGGCUAAUCAGAAUCGGAUGAAGAAAGGGCGGGAAAUGAAAGGAGAGGGCGUCCUAAAAGAAGGAUUCCGAAGGAAGGCACCAUUCUUAUGUUAAUGCCUAGAGGUCUGGCGACGCGAUCGCACAAAAUCCAGAAAGUUCAGGUCACAUUGACAGCUAUAGCAACAUCACACAAAACCCAAAUUCCAAACCAGCUCAAACCAGCCCAAACCACUUUAGCUACUCAUCUUCCUUAUCUUUCCUUGCAAAAACAACACCCCACUCCUCCAACCCCUUUUUGAAAUCAUCAACCACAACCCCCACCUCAUCCAACGUUAAUCUACACUCCACACAUCGAUGUUGUCCACAAAGAUCGCUUGACAGCCACUUUCGCCUUGUCGAUGCCUCAGUCUUAGCAGAGUUUGAGGUUCCCGGAUGAGGGUCCAUUGCGGCGUCCUUGGACGGGGAGGUAAGAGGGGAAGUGGGAGGGUAUCCGCGCAACUUGUAGCAGGUGCAGAUCUCUCUUGACGCGGCAGGCAACCGAGAGUCAAAUGAUGCUCCGCAAAUAACCGUCAUGUUCUCAGUCGUGCCUUUCACGCGAUGUAAACCCGGGAACGUCCAUUGACAUGUAGAAGAUGGAUGCGUGCGAGAGGUUUUGUCAGCCUAUCCCAUAGGCUCGUUA
RNAcentral lists this small RNA (1239 nucleotides) under Cryptococcus neoformans H99. RNAcentral's name for it is "Cryptococcus neoformans var. grubii H99 hypothetical RNA". The record is from RNAcentral. Lineage: Eukaryota; Fungi; Basidiomycota; Tremellomycetes; Tremellales; Cryptococcaceae.